RNAcentral lists this long non-coding RNA (999 nucleotides) under Fukomys damarensis (Damara mole-rat). RNAcentral describes it as "lncRNA (ENSFDAG00000028884.1)". The record is from RNAcentral. Lineage: Eukaryota; Metazoa; Chordata; Mammalia; Rodentia; Bathyergidae.
AUGUCUACAGAGCCCUCCGGACUUCCCAACCUGCAUUGUGAAAUCUGUUUGCUGCAGCUGUGGCUUUGGCCGCCCUUCCCAGGAAUACGUGGCUGGAAGAGAGGAGCAGCCUGCAGCAUUUUUAUCAUUAAAAUAUCACGGGAACCAAACUGCUCCGUUUCAGAGCAGGUUUUACUGAAUACAGGCAACUCACUUACUACGCAUAUACACAGAUGUGCGUGUGUGUGUGUUUCAAGGACAAUGGUUUUUAGGAAAACAAUUUGGAACAAAUGUCGCUUCUUGUGCCUGGUCUAUAUGGAUUCAGGUGGCCCUGUGAGGAGUGGUGAAAAGGAAGCACAGAAGACACAAAGGUAUCAUCAAUCGGACAGCGAUCUGUGCAGACUUCUAGCCAAACCCCAGGCUCCAACGUGGCUGACACCAGCAGGCACUUUCUGGAAAGAGAUAAACCCCACUGUGGGACGAGCAGGCUGAAGAGUCUUGCGGGGAGGAGGAGGGAGGCGGCAAAGAAAAGCAUCUCUCCUCCUAACCAGGAAACACUGGGAUCCAAGUGGGAUCCACUGCAGGUCUGAGCAGAGGGCAGGGAAGCCAAUGAGAGGACAGCAGGAAGCCAGUCACGGCACCACAGACACGGGCAGAAAAGCCUCACAGACUGCAGUGAUCAGAGCCGAGCACACAGGUACGAGUUCCAGAGGCAGAGUGCUCAAGACUGAGAUCCGCUGUGACCCCUGACCGCGGUGUCGCCUUGGGUGCUUUCUGGGUGCCCAUUUCCUCAACGGGGGGAUGAGGCUGACAGCAGUGGCGACUCCUGUCCCUUGCCGGCCCUCCACCAUCAGCUGUCCCUUCUACUUGAGGACGUAAAACGGGACUGCACCUGCCUCUGUACUGGUACCAAAUUAAACCACGCUUGCCUGGCCCAUCGUGAGUAAUUAAGAAAUGCUCUCUGAGUCUUAAUGACAUAAAAAUCCAAUCACAAGUUAUAAAAAUGCAGAAAGAGAAAGC